This 150-nucleotide ribosomal RNA is filed under the name uncultured marine eukaryote. RNAcentral describes it as "partial 18S ribosomal RNA". It matches the Rfam family "Eukaryotic small subunit ribosomal RNA", at positions 1241 to 1389 of the family's 1831-position model. The record is from RNAcentral.
AUAGUGAGUGAUUGACAGAUUGAGAGCUCUUUCUUGAUUCYAUGGGUGGUGGUGCAUGGCCGUUCUUAGUUGGUGGAGUGAUUUGUCUGGUUAAUUCCGAUAACGAACGAGACCUUAGCCUGCUAAAUAGUCCCGCGAAUGAUUUGUUAU